This is a long non-coding RNA of Chroicocephalus ridibundus (black-headed gull), 221 nucleotides long. RefSeq lists it as uncharacterized. The transcript is spliced from 3 exons. NCBI's taxonomy places the organism in Eukaryota, Metazoa, Chordata, Aves, Charadriiformes, Laridae. The record is from RefSeq and is a predicted model, not a curated record.
GGUUAUAAUGAACUGCAGCCUGGACUAGCUGUUGGUCAAGGAACAGAACCUCUGGCACCAGCAGUGAGGAACUUCACGCUGAAUUUCACUAUAACCAACCUCCAGUUCACUGCAGAUCUGGCGACGCCAAAUUCUAAAAGAUUCAAGUCAACAGAAAAAGUCAUGUACCAUUAUGUUGAUCCUUUACUGCAAAAAAGCAGCAUUGGCCCCGCUUAUCUUGG